This 1833-nucleotide long non-coding RNA is filed under the name Phoenix dactylifera (date palm). RNAcentral describes it as "long non-coding RNA (PDAC_LNC001400)". Lineage: Eukaryota; Viridiplantae; Streptophyta; Magnoliopsida; Arecales; Arecaceae. The record is from RNAcentral.
CAGUCCGCCCCUAAGGUGGCCUUUUCCCUCUCUUUGAUUGCUCUCCUCUUCUCAGCUCUCAUAAUCUCUCCAUCUCUAUCAAGGGAAAUUCCAAGCUGCGAUCACCCAAGCACAGGUAUGGAUCUGCUCGUUCUCUUACUGUCUUCAAGGGAAAUUUAGCCUUUUUGAUGGGAUCAAUUAUGGCAUGAGACUUUGCGUUGGGUGAUUGAUGUAUAUAGGCGGAGAUGUUGCUGCGAGCUCGCGAGGGCAUGUGAGGAUGGCGAGGGAAGCGGCGUUUGCGCCACCUGCGCCUGCUGCCAAUGAGAGGGUCCCUGGUGGCCCUCAUGGUUGAGGCGUGGAACUUCUACCUACCUCAGAGUUCGGCCUGUUUCCGCUGCAGUAGAUCUAGCUUCUUCAUCCUUUCUGAGUAUGAAAGUUUCAACUUGGUGUCUUUGUCUGCUAUGGGGAUAUUGGCUUUGGGCGUGGUUACUGUUAUGAAUUUUGGAGCCUCUUUAUUGAUUGCAGGGAAAUAGAUAUAUCGCAACAAUAGUAGUGAUUUUCCUUGUUUUCUUUCCUCUAAUGCAGUUUUCCCUAUUGUCCUACAUAGAUGUCAUGUUUUUUCUUUUUCCUCUUUUUUCUUUUAGGGGGGUUUAUGACUUGGUGCAUAAUUCCUACAUAGUUCUCCUUUCUUUUUCUUUUUUUCCCCUCCUACUAGACCGCUACCUGUUGAGUUUAUGGGUCACCGAGUCUCACCCAAUUGUACCCCUGCUUUUUUUUUUAGGAAUAAUUAUACCCCUGCCUACAACCCCAAGGACCAUCAUGAUAGAAAAUCUCCCAAGGCUGUAUUCUUUGGCUAUUAAUGAAGGGUUCUUUACUCUGCCAAUUUCAACUUUCUAGGCUUUGUUCAAAUAACUUUUAUGCAGUGCAGAAUAGCUAACCAUCUCCUAAAUAGGUUCAACCAUGCAUAUCCAUCCCCUAACCAGCUACCCAGCAAAUAAAGUUAUUUACUUUUUGGUUAGUAUUCCCAUAGUUAGUGGGGUAAAGUUGUCCCAGAGUGAAAAGUAAAGAGAGGGAAAAGCUUUGUGUUGUCAACUUUAUUUCACCCUCUCCCCAGAAAUAAGUUACCCAAGUUAAACACCUUUUUGGGCCGUUGAUUGGGCAAAGUUAUUCAUCACAUUUUGGAUGGCGUUUGGCUGGUUAAACAAAUAAUCCUUCUUACCCACAAUUUAACUGGCAUUCAGACACCAUCUUAGGAUUUCUUUUCCGAACCUUUGCAAGAUUUAUCAUAGUUUUACACUGUGUUGUUCACUAAUGAGGGUCCUUUGUCUAAAUUUUGAGGAAUAAUUAUACCCCUGCCUACUACCCCAAGGACCAUCAUCAUAGAAAAUCUCCAAAGGCUGUAUUCUUUGGCUAUCAAUGAAGGGUUCUUUACUCUGCCAAUUGCAACUUUCUAGGCUUUGUGCAGUCUAAGCGAAGAAUAGCUGACCAUCUCCUAAAUAGAUUGAACCAUGCAUGUGCAUCCCCUAACCAGCUACACAGCAAAUAAAGUUAUUUACUUUUUGGUUAAUAUUCCCAUAGCUGGUGGGGUAAAGUUGUCCCAGAGUGAAAAGUAAAGAGAGGGAAAGCUUUGUGUUGUCAACUUUAUUUCACCCUUUCCCCAGAAAUAAGUUACCCAAGUUUAAUACCUUUUUUAGCCGUUGAUUGAUUUAAGUUAUUCAUCACAUUUUGGAUGGCGUUUGGCUGGUUAAACAAAUAAUCCUUCUUACCCACAAUUUAACUGGCAUUCAGACACCAUCUUAGGAUUUCUUUUCCCAACCUUUGCCAGAUUUAUCAUAGUUUUACACUCUCUUGUUC